RNA transcript from Wyeomyia smithii (pitcher-plant mosquito), 11451 nucleotides. It is a transcript of the gene named F-actin-monooxygenase Mical, with no coding region annotated. The record is from RefSeq and is a predicted model, not a curated record. The transcript is spliced from 13 exons. NCBI's taxonomy places the organism in Eukaryota, Metazoa, Arthropoda, Insecta, Diptera, Culicidae.
AAGAUAAUGUAGUUGGAAAAAAUAUUGCAACAACAACAGUGUAUAGUGCUGAUGAUGACUCAAGUGAAAACUGCUGGCGUGGAAAGGAAAAACUUUUCCUCCCUUGGACUGCUGCUGCUGCUUUGGCUGGCGGCUACCGUGUUCUUUCCGGUGCAAAAUUCGCCAGAACUCGAGUGUGUCACUGCUUUCGGGAACCGUUUGCCUGCUGGGGAGUGUUUUGUUAACUUCAACAAAUCCCAAGAAGAAGAGGUUCGCGGAAGCCGCUAUCCUGGUGUCACUCCGGUACUAACAUUUUUUUCUCAAGUGCGUCGUCCGUUGCGGUGUGCGAAGUUAACGGACGGAGGAAAAUUCGGUGCAAAAAUGAGUGUCUAAAAUAGAGUCGCUUUUAAACGAGCAUAAUUUGCGUUUCCCGUAGAAAAAGUGACUACAAAAAUGAAGUGAAAAAAGAGAAAAAAUAUUCCUCUAUUACAACAUUGUGCUGUUUGAAAGAAGAAAAAAGUAUAUAUUCAUACCAGAAACCAAGUGUGGUUUAUUUUGUGUUUUUUUUUAUGCUAACUCAAGCUCUUGCAGUGGAUAAGCAAGCAACUGUGGUGUGUUUGAUAUCGUUUGAGUGUGAUUUAAUGCAUUAGGUGCAUUCUGUGGCGAGCAAAACAGCUGAUAAAGGAUAUACUGAUUGGAUAGCUAAUAAAACUGCUAUCAGAAUGAAUCCCGCCAUCAGUGAACACGAGGCAGCUUCGCUGGCCGCAGAAAUGUUUGAUCAUUUCUGUGCCGCGACCACAAUGCGACAGAUACUCGGCCUGUACCGAAACAUGUGUGAUAUCCUGGGGCUGAGGCCCGGUCCGUUGAACGAGUUCUAUCCCAAGUUCAAGGCGAAAAUACGCAACUGGAAGGCGCAGGCACUGUGGAAAAAGUUUGACGCCCGCGCCUCGCAUCGUGUGUACAACAAGGGAACCGCCGCCAGCGGUACCCGUGUUCUAGUCAUCGGCGCAGGACCCUGCGGUCUGCGCACGGCAAUCGAAGCCCAGCUGCUCGGCGCCAAAGUGGUUGUUGUUGAAAAGCGUGAUAGGAUUACGAGAAACAACGUUCUACAUCUGUGGCCAUUUCUAAUCACCGAUCUCAAGGCACUCGGAGCGAAAAAAUUCUACGGUAAGUUCUGUGCCGGUUCCAUCGAUCACAUCUCGAUCCGGCAGCUGCAGUGCAUUCUGCUCAAGGUAGCCCUGCUGUUGGGCGUAGAGAUUCACGAGGGUGUUUCGUUCAUCCGCGAGAUCGAACCGAAGGACGGCUGCGGAUGGCGGGCAGCCGUCUCGCCAGAAGAUCACGCCGUAUCCCACUAUGAGUUCGAUGUGCUGAUCGGUGCCGACGGUAAGCGCAACACCUUGGAAGGGUUCAAGCGGAAGGAGUUCCGCGGUAAGCUAGCAAUCGCUAUCACUGCCAACUUCAUCAACAAGAAAACUGAAGCAGAAGCCAAAGUUGAGGAAAUCAGCGGAGUGGCGUUCAUAUUCAACCAAUCGUUCUUUAAAGAACUGUACCAAACCACAGGCAUAGACCUGGAGAACAUCGUGUACUACAAAGACGAAACGCACUACUUCGUGAUGACGGCGAAAAAACACAGCCUUCUGGAUAAGGGUGUCAUCAUUCAGGACUACGCCGACCCAGCGGAGUUGCUUUCGUCGGCAAACGUAGACUCGUCCAAGCUGCUGGACUACGCCCGCGAAGCGGCCAAUUUCUCCACCAAAUAUCAGAUGCCGAAUCUCGAAUUCGCAGUUAACCAUUACGGCAAGCCGGACGUAGCGAUGUUCGAUUUCACCUCCAUGUUUGCCGCCGAUAACUCGUGUAAGGUUACCGUUCGAAAGAAUUAUCGUCUGCUCUCUUGCCUGGUGGGUGACAGCCUACUGGAACCGUUCUGGCCAACGGGGUCCGGCUGUGCCCGAGGUUUCCUAUCCAGCAUGGACGCAGCGUACGCGAUAAAGUUGUUCUCCAACUCUAAAAACAGCCUCCUAGCAGUGCUAGCGCAGCGUGAGUCCAUCUAUCGGCUGCUAGCGCAAACAACCCCGGAGAACCUACAACGGGAUAUUGGAGCAUACACACUGGAUCCCAGCACCCGGUAUCCGAACCUUAACAAAUCAUCGGUCAACAUGAUCCAGGUGAAGCAUUUGCUGGAUACCGACGACCCGGCCUUGCUAGAGCAAACCUUCCUGGAUACCAAUUCGCUUACGGCCGGUCCGGAAGUUUCCAUUACCAAACGCAAGCGGCGUACCAACGAUACCGUUCCGCUGGGAACGGUACUGCUGCGAUGGAUCAAAUCCCAGCUGAAGGAUAGUGCUUUCGUGCAGGACCUCACGGAGGCUGCUCAGUGCUUCAUCAACGGUCGCGUUCUGUGCACUUUGAUCAACCGCUACCGGCCGGACUUGGUCAACCUCGAGGAGCUCGAAGUGUGCACCGCAGAGGAAUGUAACGAGCAUGCGUUUGCGAUUCUGGAAGAUCACCUUGGAAUUCCCCGUAUCAUGUCCGGCCAGGACUCGAUAACAUUGGCCGGAGUCGACUCGAAGCUGUGGCUGAAUUAUCUCGAACAGAUUUGCGAGGUGUUCCGCGGUGAAAUUCCACACGUCAAACAUCCCAAGCUGGAUUAUGCCGAGUUCAAGCAGAAGCAGCAGAUCAACAGCAUGGAGGAGUUCGCGAAGCUGCGGCGGUUCGCCGCCAAUCGAAUGGCCGCCAUCAACGAGCCACCGGCUACUCCCGGCAGCACCCCAGCUGGUACUGCCCGGAAGUCUUCCAACUACUUUCACACCAACGAAGAGGAACGUAUCAAGCGCAGUCGCAAGGUGCUGGGCGCAGAAUCUAGUCCAAUGGCUUCACCACAAACUGAUACCACGAAGCGAGCCAAAAAACGUCGUAGCUAUGAGAAGUUUGGAAAUAUUGAGGAACGCACCCGCCGUUUUCAGGAGAUCGAAGCGAACCGGCUCGAUCGGCAGACCAAGCGGCGGCUCGCCCGGGCCCAGCAGACCCAGAACUUCUACACCAGCCUCCACAUGCUGCAGGCGAACACUUUCCUGCGCGAAAGUGACAGCUCUAGCGCGUUCGAGGACUAUUCGCUCUUUCUGUACCGCCAGUCGGCGCCCGAGUUCAACGAUCGCGUCAAAGAGAUGGAACGGAAGAUCCUCUAUCCCGAUCGCGAUCGAGGCCUAGCGGCGGCCUAUCCGCGAAGUCUCGUCGCCGCAAACGACGGGGAACAGUUUAGCGAUCGGAUCAAAUCGAUGGAGCAGCGAAUCGUCGGCAAACAACCGACCGUCACCGAGAAGAAACCGAAAGAUCUGCUGCGGGCGAUCGGUAAGAUCGACAGCAACGAUUGGAAUGUGAAGGAGAUCGAGAAGAAGAUCGAACUGUCGAAGAAGGCAACCGACAUUGGCAAGAGCCGUGAACGCGUUCCGAAGUGGAACCGUGAGCAAUUUUUAGCCCGCCAGAAUAAGCUCACCCAGCAGCCCGAGGACGAAAAGUACAAGGAGUUCGAUAGUUCGCUGAAAGCGAUCGACAAACAGCUGAAGGAGGGACACAACUUGGAUCUCGGCGAGCGAGGCAAGAAUAAGGUGGCUUCCAUUGCCGGUCAGUUGCUCAGCACUAAGCAACAGCAGCGACAGCAGCAGCAACAGCAACAUAAUCAGAAAUCGACCUCAAAAGCCGCUCUGGUGCUAACGUCUACGGGUGUUGCGGAAAAGUGCCACUUCUGCAAACAGCGCGUCUAUUUGAUGGAAAAAAUUUCUGCGGAAGGACUUACCUUGCAUCGAUCCUGUCUAAAGUGCCAUCACUGCCAUACAAACUUACGACUUGGUGGCUACGCGUUCGAUCGGGACGAUCCGGAGGGAAAGUUCUACUGCACUCAGCACUUCAAGCUGCCAUCGAAAACCUUCAAACCUCUGCCCAAGCGGUCCCUACCGCGAACGCCCCAGGCAAACGCAGGGAACGCAGCGAUCGCGGUUGCCACCACGCAACCUUCUACACCCGACUCGAAAUCAUCCAACUUCGAUCUGCUGGAUCGCGGUGAAACACCGGAGCGGAUCGAGUUCGAAAACGCCGACGAAUCGAUCUCGGACAGCGAAGCGGCCAUGGAAGUUAUCGACGAAAACGAGUGGACCGAUCGGAACUUCGGUACCGAGUCGGACGAAUCCGACGAGGACAUGUCCAGCUCGGAUGAGUCGGACAGCGAGAGUGAUUCGGACUACGAGGAAGCGGCAGGAUCGCCGCUGGGUGCGCAGACGCUCCAGCUGGCAUCCGAGUGGAUCAGUGACAAGCGGUUCUCCAACAUGGUUGACAGUGAUGAUGAUUUCUAUGGUUACUCCAGUGAAGAUGACGAAGCAGACUCCCAAACGGAAGGCGAAGAAUUCGCCCGAGCGCGCGAGAUUCGAAUGCAGGAGGUAAAGCUGAUGCCGCCACCGACCCUACCAACGGAUACCGAAACCGAGGUUGCCUCUAAACAACAGCCACAAGUAGUCCCCACUGUAGCUCCUAAUCAGCCCAGUAAUGCCCUUUGCACUGUACCUAAUCAAACCCCCAGCAAGGCACCUUCUCUCAUUAACCCGCCGCAGCCGGCGGAAUCCGCCGAGGACAAAGCGCUUAGGGAGAAAAUGCUCCAGAAGCUUAGCAUUCGCGAGCAGUGGCUUCAUUCAACAUCAUCAUCACCGGUGCAGGCCGAACCUGUCGUCCCUGCGGCCGACGUUCAAAAGCCCAAAACUUCCUUCUUCGGGGGUCUCAUGAACAGUCUCAGCACACUGAUCAAGUCCGACAAACAGCCACCGAAAACAUCUCCUCCCCCUCAAGUUGCUCAAGAUUCACCCCCUGGCAUGCAGGUUACCCCUCGGGUAGACGAUUCAUUCUCAUCUCUUUCGCCUUCACUCCGCCAGUUAGCCGUGUCAUCUCCGAAACCUCCGCCCUCACCGACACCUUCAUUGAAAAAGUCAAAACAUGGAGAUGUUCCUCCUUCCCCGACGCUAUCAUUGAAGAAACAAAAACAGCUUGAAGUUCCUUCCUCACCAACACCAUCUCUUAAGAAACACAAGAAGCACAAGCAUACAGCAAGUCCAUCUCCAACGCCAUCUACCGGUAGUCAAAAUCUCUCUGAGGACGGAACGUUCAGUGCUAGUAGCGGUCGCAGUACGCCACAUUCCAAACGACGCUCGCACUCAAAAACGGCAGAAGUCCGCCAGGACACGGACGAAUUCCUAGAUCAAAUCAAGCAAGAUCAAGCAGCUUUGGAUCAACGGAUGAAAAAAGUUGAAGCCAAGAAAUUCAAGACCAACAUGCAAUCCAUUAAAUCGGCUGUCGAAGGUUCCCGAAUAGUGGGUGUCAAAAGCGAAAAGGAUGUUUCCAAAUUUUUUGGCGGUCCAAAGAAAGAUUCGGUUGAUCAAAAAGCCAAACCACUCCCCAACAAAGACGUGUCAGUCCUACAAGGGGUCAAUCUGUCGAAAUACUUCCCUAGCGCAGGCAGCUCUGCUCCUCCCAGCGCAAAGGCAAGCAUUGGAACACCCUCUUCAGUUUCUAGCGUAGAAAGUUCUCCCAUGUUAGGUCGCAAGAAACCCACUGAUGUGGAACUUAUGAAAUAUUUUGGCCCCAGCACGGCGAAAUCAUCGCCGUCUACUCCGUCGUCCCUUAAUUCACCUGCUAUUUCACGCAAAAGCAGUAUAGAAUCCCCUGGAACCGUUCGAAAACAGACCGCGGCGAUCACUUCUACUACUGCUUCAAAAACCCCAGCCAUAUUGGCUCCCAAGCCUCCAAUGGUUCCCCUUCCCCCAAAGAAAAACGUUCUAGCUUUCCAACCAAUCAAAAAAUCCAAAACCGAAUCCGUUCUCCCGGCCGCUGUACCGACAAAGAACGUACUCGCUUUUCAACCGGUAGCGAAACCACCAAAACCGUCCUCUCCAAAACCUCUACCUAAAGCCAGGUCUUCACCACCUAAACAGGCUCACUCAUCUCCUCCAAAAUCCCCCAAAGAGGAUGAUGCAUUAUUCGACAACCUGCUGAAAUCCCUUCCCGAUCAAGCUUCCUCAAGCAUCGAAGACAACUUGUUAUUCGUUGAUCUGUUAAGCAAGGUAGAUGAUUCCCCAAAAGCUGGCCGUAAAACUUACCCCCUGGUAAAAGCCAGCACGCCCCCAAAACAGCGAUCACUAGAUGAACAGAUUUUCGACGACCUGCUCGGAGAAGUCGACGAUUCUUUGAUCGAAAAUUUUGAGGAAAUAGUAGGUCUUCCCAGCAAAAAGCCAAGCCCCAAACUAGCCAAAAAGAAAACCUCCCCUAAGCGAUCGCCCAAAGUUUCGCCAAAGCAUUCGCCCCCGUCGGUAAAGAAAAGUGCAGCGGUUAAACCACCCAAAAUGACCCUCAAACGACCGCCGUUCAAAAUCGCUGUUCCUGUGAAGAUGCAGGAAACUCUGGAGGAAAUCUACCUCUCUAGUUUAUCCAAGUUAGAUACACGCUCGAUGUCCAUGACCAGUUUGAGCUCCGUCGCUAGUAAAUCCAGUGACGGUGCGGGUGACCACCAAGGUAAGAUUGAGGAAGCAUUCGAGCAGCUACUGCUGCCGGAAGCGUUCCCAGUGGUGGUUCACCAGCCCGAACCGAUCAAGACUCAGCCCUUUCAGGCCCCCCAGCGUGCGAGCACGACGACGAAGUCCCCACCGACUGGUGGCAACCGGAAAGACGAGAAAGCUUCUAACAAAACGCCAUCGCCGUCGCAGCCGUCGACGAAGCUACCGGAGAGGACCUUGGCAGUACAGGUAUUGCCGCUAGAUAUGAAACCUGCGACGCCGAAUUUGUCCAAAAAGAUCGCUCCGAAGUCCGCUUUACCGUGUGUACAAAAUGUAGGAACCAAUGCCGUAACCGGAAAACAAUCUGUCACACCACUGUUUUCGCAAUCGAAUAAAACUGCAGUAAAUGUUAAUCUGAACAAUCGUAUUAGUAACUUCGAAGAUUUGCUGGAUGGCGUGGAUAGUGCGGAACAUGUUGAGUUGGAUGAUUUGCUGUGUGAGUUGAACAUUGUCGAAAAGACUACAAAACCUGCGGUUGUUCAAAAGACCACAAACCUGGUUUCCCCGAAACAAACGCCGAAAAUCAUCAGCAAUGAGUCUGUUGAGGCAAUACCUACUCCCCCGACAACUCCAAGUGUAGUUAGAAAGGUGACUUCUGUGAAGACAACUAAAGAAUUGUCGACAUCAGUGAACAAUCAAGCUCUACCAAAUGUUUCUAAAUUGCCCAAUCCUUCUGUCAUAGCUUCAACGAUUCCCAUGCCGGAAUCUAGUGAUCAGCCAGCGAUCAAGUCCACUCCACUCAGCACUCCAACUGCAUUCAGAGAACCGUUGAACCAGAAGUUGGUGACGGGAGCUCCAAAUGUUUCUAAAUUGCCCACUUCUUCUGUGCCAAUUUCAACGAAUCCCAAGCCGCUACUGGCAUGUAGUGAUCAGCCAGCGAUCAAGUCCACUCCACCCAGCACUCCAACUGCGUUCAGAAAACCGUUGAACCAGAAAACGGUGACUGAGGCUCCAACUCCAACCGUGGUACAGCAACCAAAGGUUGUACCAAUUCAGGAAUCGCAAGCUCUUGAAACACCAAAACUAAUUCGAAAAAUUACUGUUCUCGAACAAUCCAAGUUACCAGUGUCUUCUCCUGCUGCCGUGCGUAGAGCUCAAAAUCCUGAAAAAUCAACGCCAACUCCGAUCAGGAAAAUUGAAGCAUCUGCGCCGAGUAAUGACAUUAAACCACAACUCGAUAAGCUGGAGACUUCUGCUAAAGCUCAAGUGAUUACUAGAGCUCAGGAACCCAAAAUGCCUCUCACACCAACCGCAACAGAAAGACAACAUAUUGAAGCUAGAGUUACUCCUGCGGAAAAACCGAUUCAAAAUCUGCCCAAACCUGUUGCAAUACGAUCCGAGCGAAAGCUUUCAAAGGACGACAUCUGCUUCGAAGAACUACGUGUGAAGCAUGAGACCAUCUUCAGCCAACAGCAGUCGGCUUCUAACACGGCACGAGAUAAUUUCUUCAAAGAGCUAACCCCUGCCGAGGUUUCCCCUCCCAUGGUCGAAACUAAACCCGUAGAAGUUCCACGUACUCUUUCCGAGUUCCGCAGUACGAUUCUGGUGAAACGCGAAACUAGAGACAAACCAGACAGCGAUAUCACGCCCGUAAUGCGCAAAAAGAUCAACGAACUAGUGAUGGAAAUUAUGCCGGGCGCUAACCUAGAAGACCUAGUUGACGAGGUUCCCAUCCCAGCCGAGCGUAAGAAAUCAUCGUUCCAGAAAAUGUACAACAAGUUGCAGCGGGCAAAAACAAUUGCCGUUCCGGAAGGGUCUGCGCUGAAGGAUCUGCUAACACCAACGAAAGGUGACGAAUAUAAAAUGGAGCUCAUUCGAGAGAACCACUCCACGGCAAACGAGCGUAUUCAAAUCAACUUGGAGCGUACGGCCCAGAUAAAGGAGAAAUACAUCAAGCAGAAGGCGCCGACUCCUCCGAAACCGUCCACUAGUCCAACCAAGCAGAUUCAGCCGUCGCUGGAGAAAAAAGGUUCCUUUAAAAUACAACCAACUGUUAAACCUGAGGAAGAGCGCACAGCGCUUAACAAAUCUCUACAGGACGGAACUUCAAAACAGAAUCCUCCGCCACCCGUGACAUAUUUGGAUAUAACGCCAGUUCCUCCAGUUCGAAAGGGUUCCCAAAAAUCGCGUUCUCCAAGCAUUGUUCCUGAAACACUGAAAGCAGCUGAACGUAAAGUCUCCCUGAAAAUGCCCAUUCCCGUGGAUGUUGAUCGGGAAGUUAGCAUUCUAAGUCGCGAUACCACUAAGCGAACGCCGAACGCAGUCAUUGAUUUUGAAGAUUUACUGAACAGCAUUGAUAGCACGGAAGUGGUUGACUUGGAUGACCUUCUCGGUGAAGAUACUUCCGCCAGUACUGUAGACAAGGUUACCACAAAAGACAAAGAUAUUCCUAAAGAACAGCCGAAAAUUGUUGAGAAGAGUUCAUCUUCUCCGGUUAAAACCGAUAAUCUGCCUCGAAACCAGUCGGCUAAGUACAAUCUAUCCGAGGAACAAUUUAAUCAAACAUCCAAAGAGCUGUUGGAGAAGUUCUUGAAAUCGAAAAUACCUCCCAAGCAAGAGGAUGACAAUAAACCAACCAUGAUCACUUCUCUGACUGAAGUAACCAGUCUUCUAGAGGAAGUAAAACCGUCAGAACUCUCCAGCGUCGUUUCGAAGGAAAAACCCAAAUCGAACAGUUCAGAUCUAAUUAAUUCCUCCACUUCGCUAAACGAACUCUGCACCCUACCGGACAUCGUUAGUAUGACUCGCAAGGAACCGGCUGGCGAAGUACCGCACCCUAAAGUGGCGGUGUCAACCCACACUGAAAAGAUCGAGCAACCGAUAAAACAUUUCCCACAAGAAAUUCAAGUCUACACUCUGCACACAGCCGGAGGAGACGAAAAACCUGCCGAACCGCAACCCUCCACCAGUGGUGUAACGGGUAAUUACGCUCAUAUCCUGCGUGACAUCACCUCCGGAUUGGUGGGGGCCGACUUUGCCGCCCCCGUUAUGUACGAACCCCCGCCUGCCAUGGACACAAAACCAAAAUCGAACUUCACCACCUACAAGAAAAUCCUGGAGGAAAGGGCGCACGAAUCGCCGGAGCAGCCAAUGCGACCAUUACGCAAACCGAAACCUGAUCGUAGCGUUUCACCACUGUUCAAGCCGUUCGACAACUCGAUCUGCAUUGAUCCCCACCGGGCGAAGAGAUCCGCUAGCAUUGAGAAUAUAGCCAUUGAUCAAGUUUUUGUGAAACAAGAUGACAAGGUUGUUGACACCUUUUACGUUGUCCCGGAACAGCGUCCGCAGCUCAAGCGUAGUUCGAAAUCGUUCGAUCGGUUAGCCGUACCGUCAACCUCAAAAGCAGUUGCGCGUCAACAGAAGAAGUCUCUCGAUGAACUUCGUGACUAUGGCUUUGAUGUCGAACCUCCUGCGUCCUCGAGACAUCUAGUCAACCCAAGACUACGUCACUUCCACCUCGAUGAAUCCGAAGAAGAUCUUUCAAGCCUGAAAGAGUAUCGUAAGCGGGAGUAUGUCAGAAAGUGUAAAUCAACAGCAGAUACAACGAAGCUCGAAGUAGAUGCUACUCGAGUUGACAUUGAUCGGGAGUCACCCAUUCCUCGAAGCACAGAUUUCUCUAAAUGGGAAGCUAUCCUAGAUCGCGGUGUUCCAUACUACCAAGAGCCUACGGUGCACAGGAAGGAAGAUGUGAAAACGUUGGAGCGAAAGCUGGACGAUUUGAAAACAGAGUGCAGACCUCGUCGCAAGAUCACUGGCAAAGACGCUAUCCCUAAAGAUUACGAUCCGGAAGAAUACGUACCACGUAUCAAUCGUCGUGUGCUGGAUUCGUUCGAGAUUCCUGAUCCCGAUCUCCCUAGAUCAUACGAUCCGGAAGAGUAUGUUCCAAGAGCUCAACGUACCAAACCGCAGCGGUCGUCCGCCUACGAAAUUGACGUUCCGAUCAGCCGAGUUGCCGGAAAGUACUACCCGGAAACACUGCAUCUGGACGACAUCCCUCACACACUGCCCAGAUCCAAAACAUCCACACAUGUUCCGUUCAGUUCGUCAAAAUCCUACGAAUUACCAGCUCGCGACGUAGCCAGAACUCAACUUACUCACCGCCGAAAUAUCGGUGGAAGCCGCACACAGCAGUUACACGAAAAAGCCAACAAAUUCAUUCGAUCCCAAAUUACCAAAAAUGACCCAAACCCGUACAUUCGGGCGUUGGCGGACAGUGAUGACGAUGAUUAUCAUCCUAUCACAAGCUCCAGCUCAUAUCGUGCUCCCAUUACGACCAGUGCCUUCCAUCCCACGUCGACUUACGGUUCAUCCAAUUCGGCUGCACUGAGCCGCAUCACCGCCAAAGCCAUCACUCAACCGUCCCGUAUGACUCAUUACACUCGGAGGGACCUCCCGUCUUCGUCGUCCACAAGCGCUCGCUCCUAUCACCGAGGGGGUGAAUCUUCCAACCGUCGGGAGAAUUGUACAAUUUCCUAAAUUCACAGCCCCUACGAAAAUGUUUCGUAACAUAUAGUUUCAUCUUUCGGCCUGCAACUUCGAAAUCACAUCUGUAGUAGACUUAAACCAACAAACCAAAUCACUCCCAGUAGGAUCAUCAUUUUCACAUUGAUACACAUUCGUAAACGAACAACAUCGAAACUUGCAACACCCCACCCUCCCUUAAGUAAUGCACUCACGGAUAUCUGGGUACGAUUUAAGCUGAAAUGAAGCAAAAAUAAAGACAGACUGAUAGAAAGCAAGAGGGUGCAUCCGACUCGGAAUCGUGCUCGGAGGAGAUAAACUCGGCCACGGAAAUUUCUACCGAUUCGGAGUUUGACCACGAACCAAGCCACCGACUGCCGCCGCGGAUUUUCAUCGACGAUACGCACCUGAAGCGACCGGC